This is a long non-coding RNA of Papaver somniferum (opium poppy), 1988 nucleotides long. RefSeq lists it as uncharacterized. The transcript is spliced from 7 exons. Lineage: Eukaryota; Viridiplantae; Streptophyta; Magnoliopsida; Ranunculales; Papaveraceae. The record is from RefSeq and is a predicted model, not a curated record.
UAGUAAUUGUGGAUCGUUAUUGGUGGGUGGGAAAAUCGAUUUGUUAAACCCGACUGGAAGAAGGAUGAGAACAUGGCGGAGGACUGGAACUGUACUUCCCGUAAUUGGAAUGGUGAUGCUAAUGACAAAGACGACCAGCGAGGACUACAGGUUUUUUGCUAUCUCAACUGCAUUCUCUGAGUUCAGUAACAAAGGAAACAAUACCAAUUUAACAUUAACCACAAGCAAAAGCUUGAUUGUGGUGGUGGCUACAUGAAGUUACUGCAUUAUUAUGUUGACCAAAAGAAGUUUAGUGGUGACAGUCCCUACAGGUUUUGGUUGUAACAACUAACAACCCACAAAGGAGUGCCCAAGGAAUUUCACGGAGCAAAACAAAUUGAAUUAAAAACUUCCUCUGCCCAUGGAAGAAUAAGGUUCCCCCUUCGCUAGGUUGUUGUCCCAGAAUUAUAUAAGAGUUUGCCAACUUCAAGCUUGACGUUAUACAUGCAUCUUCACCUAGAAUUAUGGUAACUUUACCUUGACUGUUCCACAUCUUCUAAUAUAAUAUAAGUCAAUCUUUGGUUUCUUGUUGGCUACCGAUUUUGUUGUGACCAACUUUGAUAUUGAAGUCCCAAACACUGAAUCGACUGAUGGCCUUGGUUCUGGAGCUGAAAUUGUGUGGAACUGGAACCAGUAAAACCAGUUUUAGUGUUCUGGGAAAACAGGUAUGGGCCAAGCCAUGCAUUAGUAGGUGGGUUCAGCUCUAAAUCUUGCUCUAGCAUUGGAACACAUAUGGGAUCAGCUAAAACAUUUAGUACUGGUGAGAUUUUAAAAGCUGCCAAUAACUUUGAUGAAUCAAAAAACUGGGAGGAAAUGGUAUUCUUGAUGACGAGAUGAAUAGUGUUCUUAAAAGGAACACAUUCAUAAUGGCAGCUUGGAUCUCAUUUACAUGACGUGGAAAAGAAAUUUAUGCCACUUGGUUGGAGUUCGCGGUUGAAGAUUGCACUUCGUUCUGCUUGUGGUUAAUCUUAUUUACAAAAAGACUACUUGCGUGUCAUCUAAUUUUGAUUUGGCUAGAACAACCCUGGAUGAUGGAAACAAGCACUCAUAUCUUGGGAACUUUUGGCCCCAGAGUAUGCAAUGACCAUGCAUCUUCUUGUCAUGAGUGGUGCUUAAAGUAUGGUAUAUUUCUUCUCGAGCUUGUGACAGGAAGGGAAGCUGUAGACAUGUCAGGACCACAAGGUCAAGAGAGUUUGGUCACCUGGGCUAGUCCACUUGUCAGUAAGGAAGUUUAGGAAUGAUUGUCGAUCCAUCUAUUGGGUCUAUUUCAUUAGACAGUGUGGCCAAAAUAGCAGCCAUAGCUUCGAUAUGUAUACAGCCAGAAGUACCUGACUGUCCUUUUAUGGGUGAGGUUGUCCAAGCCUUAAAAGUUAGUGAUAAUGUAGUAAUAUCUGAAAGUUGUAGCCAAGAGGCUUUAACUCUUUUAGGAAUUGAUACUAGAACUAGUACUGGUUUCCAGAACAUUAUUCACGAGCUGAUUAUCGAAUGAUUCAUUAUGAUUUUGAUUCUAUUAAAAAAAUGACAAGGCCGUUAUCCGUAUUAGAAGCGUUCAGUAGUUCCCCCAGGUUUUGACAAGAGUUCGUUAAAGUCUUUUAGAAGGCAUUCUAGUUAAGGCCUGUUAAGAACUGGGAAAAGCUGACACUUCUGGGGUAGGCUGCCAAGAUACCUGCUGGAACCAUGAUUUUGCACUCAGACCAUGGGCCUUGCUGAAGUUUCUGUGUGCUGUUUAAGAACAGCAAUGCUUAAUGUCAAGAACACUUGCGUAUAGGGAACGUCCAUGAGCAUUAUAUGACUAAUCCAGAUGGAUAUUUGUUAUUUAAUACAAGAAAAUAAAAAUUCAGCCCUUCAAACUUCAAGAACUGGUUGCAGAAGUUAACCUUUGGAGAAUGGAUUCAUUAUUCUGGUGGCCCGUGAAGGAUUUUAAGAUUGAGAUAUUGAUUUUUCUUUUU